UUUUAUUUAGUUUAAAAAAAAUUGUGGCUUGUCAAGUCAUGGAUUGAAAAGUUUCAAGUAAAAA
This 64-nucleotide transfer RNA is filed under the name Bulinus globosus. Its description in RNAcentral is "tRNA-Asp". Lineage: Eukaryota; Metazoa; Mollusca; Gastropoda; Planorbidae. The record is from RNAcentral.